Molecule: ribosomal RNA, 497 nt
Filed under: uncultured bacterium
Lineage: Bacteria
Description: partial 16S ribosomal RNA
Rfam family: Bacterial small subunit ribosomal RNA
Source: RNAcentral
GAUGAACGCUGGCGGCGUGCCUAAUACAUGCAAGUCGAGCGAACAGACGAGGAGCUUGCUCCUCUGACGUUAGCGGCGGACGGGUGAGUAACACGUGGAUAACCUACCUAUAAGACUGGGAUAACUUCGGGAAACCGGAGCUAAUACCGGAUAAUAUAUUGAACCGCAAGGUUCAAUAGUGAAAGACGGUUUUGCUGUCACUUAUAGAUGGAUCCGCGCCGCAUUAGCUAGUUGGUAAGGUAACGGCUUACCAAGGCAACGAUGCGUAGCCGACCUGAGAGGGUGGUCCGCCACACUGGAACUGAGACACGGUCCAGACUCCUACGGGAGGCAGCAGUAGGGAAUCUUCCGCAAUGGGCGAAAGCUUGACGGAGCAACGCCGCGUGAGUGAUGAAGGUCUUCGGAUCGUAAAACUCUGUUAUUAGGGAAGAACAAAUGUGUAAGUAACUAUGCACGUCUUGACGGUACCUAAUCAGAAAGCCACGGCUAACUACGUG